CUACGGGCUGCUGCAGUGGGGAAUAUUGCACAAUGGAGGAAACUCUGAUGCAGCAACGCCGCGUGGAGGAUGACACUUUUCGGAGCGUAAACUCCUUUUAUAUAGGAAGAUAAUGACGGUACUAUAUGAAUAAGCACCGGCUAACUCCGUGCCAGCAGCCGCGGUAAUACGGAGGGUGCAAGCGUUACUCGGAAUCACUGGGCGUAAAGAGCGUGUAGGCGGGUUAAUAAGUCAGAAGUGAAAUCCUAUGGCUCAACCAUAGAACUGCUUUUGAAACUGUUAACCUAGAGUGUGGGAGAGGUAGAUGGAAUUUCUGGUGUAGGGGUAAAAUCCGUAGAGAUCAGAAGGAAUACCGAUUGCGAAGGCGAUCUACUGGAACAUAACUGACGCUGAGACGCGAAAGCGUGGGGAGCAAACAGGAUUAGAUACCCCAGUAGUC
This 439-nucleotide ribosomal RNA is filed under the name uncultured bacterium. RNAcentral describes it as "partial 16S ribosomal RNA". It matches the Rfam family "Bacterial small subunit ribosomal RNA", at positions 339 to 795 of the family's 1533-position model. The record is from RNAcentral.